RNAcentral lists this ribosomal RNA (253 nucleotides) under uncultured Dorea sp. RNAcentral describes it as "partial 16S ribosomal RNA". It matches the Rfam family "Bacterial small subunit ribosomal RNA", at positions 524 to 776 of the family's 1533-position model. Lineage: Bacteria; Bacillati; Bacillota; Clostridia; Lachnospirales; Lachnospiraceae. The record is from RNAcentral.
UACGGAGGAUGCGAGCGUUAUCCGGAUUUACUGGGUGUAAAGGGAGCGUAGACGGUAAUGUAAGUCUGAUGUGAAAGCCCGGGGCUCAACCCCGGGACUGCAUUGGAAACUAUGUAACUAGAGUACCGGAGAGGUAAGCGGAAUUCCUAGUGUAGCGGUGAAAUGCGUAGAUAUUAGGAGGAACACCAGCGGCGAAGGCGGCUUACUGGACCGUGACUGACGUUGAGGCUCGAAAGCGUGGGGAGCAAACAGG